This 66-nucleotide transfer RNA is filed under the name Halocynthia aurantium. Its description in RNAcentral is "tRNA-His". Lineage: Eukaryota; Metazoa; Chordata; Ascidiacea; Stolidobranchia; Pyuridae. The record is from RNAcentral.
UAUGAUAUAGUUUAAUGUUAAAAUGUAAGUUUGUGGUGCUUAAGAUACUCUGUUGUGUUAUUAUAU